This 87-nucleotide transfer RNA is filed under the name Perca fluviatilis (European perch). It matches the Rfam family "tRNA". Rfam says of the family: Transfer RNA (tRNA) molecules are approximately 80 nucleotides in length. Their secondary structure includes four short double-helical elements and three loops (D, anti-codon, and T loops). The record is from Rfam by way of RNAcentral. RNAcentral also lists the same sequence under 1 other name. Lineage: Eukaryota; Metazoa; Chordata; Actinopteri; Perciformes; Percidae.
CCUUCGAUAGCUCAGUUGGUAGAGCGGAGGACUGUAGAGGUUACACCAGGCAUCCUUAGGUCGCUGGUUCAAAUCCGGCUCGAAGGA